Molecule: ribosomal RNA, 309 nt
Filed under: Triticum aestivum (bread wheat)
Lineage: Eukaryota; Viridiplantae; Streptophyta; Magnoliopsida; Poales; Poaceae
Description: partial small subunit ribosomal RNA
Source: RNAcentral
AUGGAAGGGGAGAAAUACAGUACAGGCACUACGUAUUUUAAAUUUUGCAUGUGGGCUCAGGCGUGGCAGCGUCAGCGGCCUCCGACGCUCCUCGGCUCAGCCGCCGCCGACCUACCAUGCCCAAAAUCCUCGCGAGCAGUGUCACUCCUUCCCCUCGCCGUGGUGCAAUGGAUUGAUUUAUUGAUGAAUCAAUCACAGCUGCUAGAAGAAGAAAGAAUCAGGCGUGCAUCAUGGAUGAUGGAUCUUGGAGUGCGGGGUGAGAACAAAGGCCUGAAGCUUGAGCAGUUCAUAUUCGACAUAUCCAUUUAA